RNAcentral lists this ribosomal RNA (796 nucleotides) under uncultured Mycobacterium sp. RNAcentral describes it as "bacterial SSU rRNA". It matches the Rfam family "Bacterial small subunit ribosomal RNA", at positions 211 to 1016 of the family's 1533-position model. The record is from RNAcentral. Lineage: Bacteria; Bacillati; Actinomycetota; Actinomycetes; Mycobacteriales; Mycobacteriaceae.
UUUUGCGGUGUGGGAUGGGCCCGCGGCCUAUCAGCUUGUUGGUGGGGUGACGGCCUACCAAGGCGACGACGGGUAGCCGGCCUGAGAGGGUGUCCGGCCACUCUGGGACUGAGAUACGGCCCAGACUCCUACGGGAGGCAGCAGUGGGGAAUAUUGCACAAUGGGCGCAAGCCUGAUGCAGCGACGCCGCGUGGGGGAUGACGGCCUUCGGGUUGUAAACCUCUUUCAGCAGGGACGAAGCGCAAGUGACGGUACCUGCAGAAGAAGCACCGGCCAACUACGUGCCAGCAGCCGCGGUAAUACGUAGGGUGCGAGCGUUGUCCGGAAUUACUGGGCGUAAAGAGCUCGUAGGUGGUUUGUCGCGUUGUUCGUGAAAACCGGGGGCUUAACCCUCGGCGUGCGGGCGAUACGGGCAGACUGGAGUACUGCAGGGGAGACUGGAAUUCCUGGUGUAGCGGUGGAAUGCGCAGAUAUCAGGAGGAACACCGGUGGCGAAGGCGGGUCUCUGGGCAGUAACUGACGCUGAGGAGCGAAAGCGUGGGGAGCGAACAGGAUUAGAUACCCUGGUAGUCCACGCCGUAAACGGUGGGUACUAGGUGUGGGUUUCCUUCCUUGGAAUCCGUGCCGUAGCUAACGCAUUAAGUACCCCGCCUGGGGAGUACGGCCGCAAGGCUAAAACUCAAAGGAAUUGACGGGGGCCCGCACAAGCGGCGGAGCAUGUGGAUUAAUUCGAUGCAACGCGAAGAACCUUACCUGGGUUUGACAUGCACAGGACGCCGGCAGAGAUGUCGGUUCC